This 427-nucleotide ribosomal RNA is filed under the name uncultured bacterium. RNAcentral describes it as "partial 16S ribosomal RNA". It matches the Rfam family "Bacterial small subunit ribosomal RNA", at positions 355 to 774 of the family's 1533-position model. The record is from RNAcentral.
UGGGGAAUAUUGCACAAUGGGCGCAAGCCUGAUGCAGCCAUGCCGCGUGUAUGAAGAAGGCCUUCGGGUUGUAAAGUACUUUCAGCGGGGAGGAAGGCGAUAAGGUUAAUAACCUUGUCGAUUGACGUUACCCGCAGAAGAAGCACCGGCUAACUCCGUGCCAGCAGCCGCGGUAAUACGGAGGGUGCAAGCGUUAAUCGGAAUUACUGGGCGUAAAGCGCACGCAGGCGGUCUGUCAAGUCGGAUGUGAAAUCCCCGGGCUCAACCUGGGAACUGCAUUUGAAACUGGCAAGCUAGAGUCUUGUAGAGGGGGGUAGAAUUCCAGGUGUAGCGGUGAAAUGCGUAGAGAUCUGGAGGAAUACCGGUGGCGAAGGCGGCCCCCUGGACAAAGACUGACGCUCAGGUGCGAAAGCGUGGGGAGCAAACA